This 325-nucleotide ribosomal RNA is filed under the name uncultured eukaryote. Its description in RNAcentral is "partial 18S ribosomal RNA". It matches the Rfam family "Eukaryotic small subunit ribosomal RNA", at positions 1470 to 1796 of the family's 1831-position model. The record is from RNAcentral.
CCCUUAGAUGUUCUGGGCUGCACGCGCGCUACACUGAUGCAUUCAACGAGCCUAUCCUUGACCGACAGGUCCGGGUAAUCUUUGAAUCUGCAUCGUGACGGGGAUAGAUUAUUGCAAUUAUUAAUCUUCAACGAGGAAUGCCUAGUAGGCGCAAGUCAUCAGCUUGCGUCGAUUACGUCCCUGCCCUUUGUACACACCGCCCGUCGCUCCUACCGAUUGGGUGUGCUGGUGAAAUGUUCGGAUCGGCCGUUUGUCGCGGUUUCCGCGUCAUGUGGCUGAGAAGUUCAUUAAACCCUCCCACCUAGAGGAAGGAGAAGUCGUAACA